UUUCCGUAGGUGAACCUGCGGAAGGAUCAUUAACGAAUAACUAUGGUGUCUUGGUUGUAGCUGGCUCCUCGGAGCAAUGUGCACGCCCGCCAUUUUUAUCUUUCCACCUGUGCACCGACUGUAGGUCUGGAUGACUCUCGUACUCCGGUGCGGAUGCGAGGAUUGCUCUCGGGCUCUCCUCGAGUUUCCAGACUCUACGUCUUUUUACACACCCCAAACGUAUGAUACAGAAUGUAGUCAAUGGGCUUGAUCGCCUAUAAAACACUAUACAACUUUCAGCAACGGAUCUCUUGGCUCUC
RNAcentral lists this unclassified non-coding RNA (299 nucleotides) under plant metagenome. RNAcentral describes it as "partial contains small subunit ribosomal RNA, internal transcribed spacer 1, and 5.8S ribosomal RNA". The record is from RNAcentral.